RNAcentral lists this ribosomal RNA (479 nucleotides) under Debaryomyces hansenii. Its description in RNAcentral is "eukaryotic LSU rRNA". It matches the Rfam family "Eukaryotic large subunit ribosomal RNA", at positions 69 to 546 of the family's 3401-position model. The record is from RNAcentral. Lineage: Eukaryota; Fungi; Ascomycota; Pichiomycetes; Serinales; Debaryomycetaceae.
ACAGGAUUGCUUAGCUACGCGCGAGUGAUGCGGCAUAAGCUCAAAUUUGAAAUCUCGGCACCUUCGCGUGUCCGAGUUGUAAUUUGAAGAAGGUAACUUUGGCAUGCUCUGGCUCUUGGUCUAUGUUCCUUGGAACAGGACGUCACAGAGGGUGAGAAUCCCGUGCGAUGAGAUGCCCAAUUCUAUGUAAAGUGCUUUCGAAGAGUCGAGUUGUUUGGGAAUGCAGCUCUAAGUGGGUGGUAAAUUCCAUCUAAAGCUAAAUAUUGGCGAGAGACCGAUAGCGAACAAGUACAGUGAUGGAAAGAUGAAAAGAACUUUGAAAAGAGAGUGAAAAAGUACGUGAAAUUGUUGAAAGGGAAGGGCUUGAGAUCAGACUUGGUAUUUUGCGAUCCUUUCCUUCUUGGUUGGGUUCCUCGCAGCUUACUGGGCCAGCAUCGGUUUGGAUGGUAGGAUAAUGACUAAGGAAUGUGGCUCUACUU